AGUGAACGCUGGCGGUAGGCCUAACACAUGCAAGUCGAACGGCAGCACAGUAAGAGCUUGCUCUUACGGGUGGCGAGUGGCGGACGGGUGAGGAAUACAUCGGAAUCUACUUUUUCGUGGGGGAUAACGUAGGGAAACUUACGCUAAUACCGCAUACGACCUACGGGUGAAAGCAGGGGAUCUUCGGACCUUGCGCGAUUGAAUGAGCAGAUGUCGGAUUAGCUAGUUGGCGGGGUAAAGGCCCACCAAGGCGACGAUCAGUAGCUGGUCUGAGAGGAUGGUCAGCCACACUGGAACCGGGGCACGGUCCCAAAUCCUACGGGAGGGCACAGUUGGGAAUUUUUGGCCAUGGGGGGAAACCUGGACCAAGCCAACCGGGUGGGUUGAAGAAGGCUUCGGGUUGUUAAGGCCUUUUGGUGGGGAAAAAAAACCACCAGUUUAUUACCCGCUGUUCUGACGGUACCCAAAGAAUAAGCACCGGCUAACUUCGUG
Molecule: ribosomal RNA, 492 nt
Filed under: uncultured bacterium
Lineage: Bacteria
Description: partial 16S ribosomal RNA
Rfam family: Bacterial small subunit ribosomal RNA
Source: RNAcentral